UAAUCACAGUAAACACCUGCCAUGAAUUGAAAACAAAAAUUAACAUUAUUUUUUAAUGCAUUAGUUGCACACAUGUGGGUAGGGAGGGAGGCAUCGCUGGCAGGGGGACUGAAGCCCCAGCCCACAGCUCUGUGGGCUUUGGGGGUGCUGGAGCCCCAUACCCCGAGAACGGCUGAAUCCACAAGCCUCACAACCCAAAGGGGCUGGAGCCCUAUGCCCUGAGGGUCGCUGAAGCCCUGAGCCCAGCAUCCUGAGAUGGGCUGAAGCCCAAAGCCCCCAUCCCUGAGCCUAUGUUUGAAAAUAGAGAUUCCCCACCAAAUAUUUCAAUAAAUCAUAUAUUCUGAUAUUGUUUAACAGUAUGAUUAAAACUGCGAUUAAUUUUGAAAUCACCUGACAGUCCUAUUUGCUAGUGAGUGAGACUCAUAAACCUUCAUCAAACCCCUUAACUGUGGCUUAUUCCAUUUUUCUCUUCCAAGAACACUGAGGUGCCCCGGUGCCAUGCAGCGAAUUACAUCAAGGACUGGGACUUUUCUCUGCAGCCUCCUGCUUUUUAAACAAGGUGCAUGUCUCAGUUCAAACCUUCAGACUUGCAGCGUCAUUUCGCUUCUAGCCAGGCACAUAUCGAUCAAGAAUUCCCACCAGGCUCUGAACUCUGCACUUCGCAACUGAAAACUUUGAAAAAACAAACAGAUGUAGAAGCCCAGUUCUGUGUGAAUUCCAUCUGUCUGUCUCCUGUUCGGCACCGUUUCCCAUCAGCCUUUCCUAGAACGCCGAGAAGCAGAGAAAUGCAGGGCUGGAAGGGACCUUGUGGGCUCAUAUGGUCCAGCUCCCUUGUGCUGAAGCAGAACCAACAAACCAAGACCGGCCAGGGUGUUUGUCCAACCUGUUCUUACAAACCUCCAACGAGGGGGAUUCUCCAUGGGAACCUCAUUCCAGUGCUUAACCACUCUGACAAUUAGAAUGGUUUUCCUGAGAUCGAAUCUCAAUCCCCCUUGCUGACGAUUAAGCCCAUUACUUCUUGGAACACAGAGAACCAUCGAUAACCAUCUGCUUUAGAACAGCCCUUUACAUAUCAGGUCCCCCCAGUUCUCCUUUUCUCAGGACUAAACAUGCCCAGUGUUUUUAACGUUUUCUCAUGGAUCGUGUUUUCUAGACCUUUGAUCACUUCUCUGGACUCUUUCCAAUUUGUCCACAUCUUUCCUGAACU
Molecule: long non-coding RNA, 1207 nt
Organism: Gopherus evgoodei (Goodes thornscrub tortoise)
Lineage: Eukaryota; Metazoa; Chordata; Testudines; Testudinidae
Exons: 3
Source: RefSeq, a predicted model, not a curated record